GUAGUCAUAUGCUUGUCUCAAAGAUUAAGCCAUGCAUGCCUAAGUAUAAGCAAUUAUACCGCGAAACUGCGAAUGGCUCAUUAAAUCAGUUAUCGUUUAUUUGAUAGUACCCUUACUACUUGGAUAACCGUGGUAAUUCCAGAGCUAAUACAUGCUGAAAAUCCCGACUCACGAAGGGAUGUAUUUAUUAGAUUAAAAACCAAUGCCCUCUGGGGCUCAGUGGUGAUUCAUAAUAACUUCUCGAAUCGCACGGCCUUGCGCCGGCGAUGGUUCAUUCAAAUUUCUGCCCUAUCAACUUUCGACGGCUGGGUCUUGGCCAGCCGUGGUGACAACGGGUAACGGGGAAU
Molecule: ribosomal RNA, 347 nt
Filed under: uncultured fungus
Lineage: Eukaryota; Fungi
Description: SSU rRNA
Rfam family: Eukaryotic small subunit ribosomal RNA
Source: RNAcentral